Molecule: ribosomal RNA, 543 nt
Filed under: uncultured bacterium
Lineage: Bacteria
Description: bacterial SSU rRNA
Rfam family: Bacterial small subunit ribosomal RNA
Source: RNAcentral
AAUAGAUACCCUGGUAGUCCACGCCCUAAACGAUGUCAACUGGUUGUCGGGGAAGUUAUUCCUUGGUAACGAAGCUAACGCGUGAAGUUGACCGCCUGGGGAGUACGGCCGCAAGGUUAAAACUCAAAGGAAUUGACGGGGACCCGCACAAGCGGUGGAUUAUGUGGAUUAAUUCGAUGCAACGCGAAAACCUUACCUACCCUUGACUUGUCAGGAAUCCCGCAGAGAUGCGGGAGUGCCCGAAAGGGAACCUGAACACAGGUGCUGCAUGGCUGUCGUCAGCUCGUGUCGUGAGAUGUUGGGUUAAGUCCCGCAACGAGCGCAACCCUUGUCAUUAGUUGCCACAUUCAGUUGGGCACUCUAGUGAGACUGCCGGUGACAAACCGGAGGAAGGUGGGGAUGACGUCAAGUCCUCAUGGCCCUUAUGGGUAGGGCUUCACACGUAAUACAAUGGCCGGUACAGAGGGCUGCCAACCCGCAAGGGGGAGCUAAUCCCAGAAAGCCGGUCGUAGUCCGGAUUGUUCUCUGCAACUCGAGAGCAUG